RNAcentral lists this ribosomal RNA (429 nucleotides) under Chloroflexota bacterium. Its description in RNAcentral is "Chloroflexi bacterium partial 16S ribosomal RNA". It matches the Rfam family "Bacterial small subunit ribosomal RNA", at positions 355 to 776 of the family's 1533-position model. The record is from RNAcentral. Lineage: Bacteria; Bacillati; Chloroflexota.
UGGGGAAUAUUGCACAAUGGGCGCAAGCCUGAUGCAGCCAUGCCGCGUGUAUGAAGAAGGCCUUCGGGUUGUAAAGUACUUUCAGCGGGGAGGAAGGGAGUAAAGUUAAUACCUUUGCUCAUUGACGUUACCCGCAGAAGAAGCACCGGCUAACUCCGUGCCAGCAGCCGCGGUAAUACGGAGGGUGCAAGCGUUAAUCGGAAUUACUGGGCGUAAAGCGCACGCAGGCGGUUUGUUAAGUCAGAUGUGAAAUCCCCGGGCUCAACCUGGGAACUGCAUCUGAUACUGGCAAGCUUGAGUCUCGUAGAGGUGGGUAGAAUUCCAGGUGUAGCGGUGAAAUGCGUAGAGAUGUGGAGGAAUACCGGUGGCGAAGGCGGCCCCCUGGACGAAGACUGACGCUCAGGUGCGAAAGCGUGGGGAGCAAACAGG